ACCCUGGCAUCGGAUCCGGGUCUCAGCCCCGAAUGACGGCCGACCUGCCAUCUUUGUGUGGGGCGUGGGGCUGGAAGAGAUUACCGAAGAUCAGUUGGGACGGUCCCCACCUCCGGAGAUGUUGCACGGACUCGUAGAAGCGAGCACCUUCGUGUGUUACUCCAGAGAGGAAGUGAUUUAUUUCUCCCAGGGUACAGCGAGGGCAGGGACUCCAAAACAAAGCUGGCUUCAAAUCAGAUUCACCGCUUCCUAGUAUGAAGAAAUCACUCCCUACUUGACAGUAUCCUCCGCGAGUUAACACCCAGUUCUGGAACAGAGAAGUCGGGUGGCAGUUGCUCCCCGACAGGUGCCCACUGGAACUGGGGUUAACAGUUGUGAGCUGCCAUGUGGGUGCUGAGAAUUGAACCCGAAUCCGUUGGAAGAGCAGCCAGUGCUUCCGCCCUCUCUCCAGCUCCUCGCCCGUGCCCGCUGUUAUGGUGGAGGUUCCACCCCAGCCCCCUUCCCUAUCUCUCUCCAAACCUUAUCUCAGAAAGCCCGCCAAAUGAUGACCUCCCCCUCCCCCCAGAAGUUCAAGACCACUCCCACGGGGUAUUUAAACUGUCCCCAGGAAAAAAGACCCGUGAUUUUCCGGGUCUCUCUCCCGUCUCCUCUUGGGACAGGGCGUGGGGAGGUGGGGGGGGGGCUGUAUCCAUUAAACAUGGGCUUUUGCUAAUUCGGUUUAUUUGGUCUGAUUUGGAUUGCUGCAUCCGCGGACAGGCUUAUCAGGGUGCAGAAACUUUUCAUCCUUCUGAGGGAGCCUUCUGGUCUGUGCGUGAGAGUUCGCCUGCGGAUGACUUGCUAGCAGUGUCUUUCCCUAAGAGGAAAAUGGUCUGCUGUGUGUCAACUGACUGUCCCCUGAGGAAUGGGCCCAGUAGCCUAAUCUCUGAUUCCAAUUAUCUGUCAACAGACCUGAAUUAAACCUGAGGAGGGCCUUACAGGGUAGAUGGCA
Molecule: long non-coding RNA, 988 nt
Organism: Mesocricetus auratus (golden hamster)
Lineage: Eukaryota; Metazoa; Chordata; Mammalia; Rodentia; Cricetidae
Exons: 2
Source: RefSeq, a predicted model, not a curated record